Molecule: non-coding RNA, 98 nt
Organism: Solanum tuberosum (potato)
Lineage: Eukaryota; Viridiplantae; Streptophyta; Magnoliopsida; Solanales; Solanaceae
Source: Rfam
AUGGGAAGUGGAGAAACAACACUUGCUAAAAGAAGUUCAUCAGUGAUUCUCUCUUCUUUUGGAGUUUUUUUAGCAAGAGUUGUUUUCCCUCUUCUCAA